This is a long non-coding RNA of Vidua chalybeata, 394 nucleotides long. RefSeq lists it as uncharacterized. The record is from RefSeq and is a predicted model, not a curated record. The transcript has 3 exons. NCBI's taxonomy places the organism in Eukaryota, Metazoa, Chordata, Aves, Passeriformes, Viduidae.
CAUGGUUAUGGGCACAGGGGCUUCAAAGUUUGGGUUUUUGUGGCAGUGCCAUCAGAUCCAGGGGAAAGAAUAAGUUUUGAGGUUUGACAGUCUUGGAAAUAAAGAACCAACCUCAGCUGCUGGUACAGACUGAUCUCCACUGAUCUCAAGGCAGCCACACUCUGUGCAAGCUGACUCCAGGCCCUGCCUACCGAUUUACCUACUGAACACUGCACAGGCCAGAGCAAAUAUGGGCUGCUCCUGCAGUGCCUAAUGUGCCUCAUUUGAAUGAUUUGUCUCAGCCCAUUUGAACUGAGAAAAAAAGAAAGAUGAAUAAAACUUGAUGAAGCAAGGGUUCCUGCAGAGACAAGGUGAUUAUGAAAAAAAGUCAAGUGGAAAAAAAACCCAGAAUAAA